UGGGGGGGGAUUCUACACCGUGAGUGUUAAAUUGACCACACCCUCGCAUUUCCGGCAAAGAAGCGCCAUCCAGAGCUGAUCCAGAACUUUCGCAAACAUCGAAAAGAUAAGUUUCACUUUGCUGACGAGUAAACUGAGGAGAGCUGGACAGGGCGGGAACAGUCGAGGAAGGAGAGGAGAGAGCAGCAGCACAGACAGGCUCACAUCAGCAGCACAGGAGGACAGAUAAGAGGAGAGGAGGAAUAAUCAUGUUCUUCAUUCUUAACCUCAGUCCCCCCUUUUAAAACCAACUAUGUUGUCUUGUUUAAUC
Long non-coding RNA from Osmerus eperlanus (European smelt), 310 nucleotides. RefSeq lists it as uncharacterized. NCBI's taxonomy places the organism in Eukaryota, Metazoa, Chordata, Actinopteri, Osmeriformes, Osmeridae. The transcript is spliced from 3 exons. The record is from RefSeq and is a predicted model, not a curated record.